GAAUCUGACUGCGUCAUUCUCUAAGCCAGGGUGAGGGAAGGGAAAGAUGGAGGGCGUUGGAGAAGUUAAGACUUCAGGAUAAGAGACAGAGGUAUUUACUGAGCACCUACCACAUGGGAGGAGCUUCUGGGUGCUGAAGUUACCAUGGUGAACAGGACAGACCAAGUCCCUCUCUGAGGAAAUCAACAUUCUAAGCAGGGAGAGGAUGGGGGAAUCUCUGCCAAGUGGACAUCUGGCUGCUGGGCCAGCUGUGCAGCCUGGGGCUGGAGAUGGGGGCACUGCAGGAGGAAGUGGUUGCCUUCCUGGAAGAAGAGGAGAAAGAGCAUCGAGGAAGAGGAGGAGGCCGAAGAGCCCAAAGGAAAGCAGGAGGAAGGACACAUGGGGAUCUCCUACCUUGGUCUUUCCCACUGCCUCCUCAAGUUUGAGAUGACUAUCUGAGGCUCUGCCAGCGUGCUUCUAAUUGAGACGGGAAUGAGAUGCAAAUUUAUGCAAAGAAGAGGGGAUGUGCAGGUCAAAUCAAGUGAAAUGUUGAUUUGGAGCCCACAUGUGUUCCUUGAACAAGUACUUUCUCUGAAGAUGUCUGAGAUGAGACUGAGGGGUUGGCCUGUGAGCUGUGGGCAUGUUUGUGGGUGAUCAGGGAGGUUUGUAGAGAAACUCUAGGUGUAUUUGCAGAGGAGCCGCAGGUGUGUUGCAGAGGAGACGUGGGUCUCUGCAAAUAUGGUGGAGAUGUGGGCAGAGGCUGUUGUGCACCUGAGACGUGGCUAGCCCUAUUGAGAUGCUCCGUAUGUGUGACAUAUACACCAAAUUUCAAAGGCUUGGUAUGAUAAAGAGAUUAUCAAACAUUUCAACAAUCUUAAAAAUUAAUAACAUAUUGAAAUGAUAAAUAUUUUGACUAUAUCGGGAUAAAUAAAAAUAUUACUAAAAUGCA
Long non-coding RNA from Equus quagga, 928 nucleotides. RefSeq lists it as uncharacterized. NCBI's taxonomy places the organism in Eukaryota, Metazoa, Chordata, Mammalia, Perissodactyla, Equidae. The record is from RefSeq and is a predicted model, not a curated record. The transcript has 3 exons.